AGGGAAAUUAAACAGGCUGACACGUUUCCUAUUGGAUCAAACGCAGGAGAUUAGGAGCUGGAUCCAUUGAGUCUCUGUGCAGCAACACUGUCUCGUAAUGAAAUAAAUCCACCUUUACUCGCCUCGAUUAAGAAGAUCAGAAGCAGCCACGAUGCUGGUAGAUUUAAAGGUUAAUACAUCUCGUUUUAAAAUCACACGGAAAUAAAACGUACAAUUUCUAUUUUGUUUGUGGCGUGAGGUGGGAAUUGCUAAGAAGAGACCAGACAAAAAUUGCUUUGAUUGAUUCGUGCUUUUAAACCGUUAUCUUCAGCAGUGCUUGAAAAUUCCAGAUGCAGUGCUUUUGGGUAAGAGGCCAGUAUUCCAGAACCUGAGACCAGUAUGCUGAGGAUACCUCUUUGAAUCACACCAUGACAGAUCUUGGAAACUGAAUUCAACAAAAGUCUGAAAUUAAAAGUCUAAUGAUGACCAUGAAA
Long non-coding RNA from Hemiscyllium ocellatum (epaulette shark), 473 nucleotides. RefSeq lists it as uncharacterized. The transcript has 3 exons. Lineage: Eukaryota; Metazoa; Chordata; Chondrichthyes; Orectolobiformes; Hemiscylliidae. The record is from RefSeq and is a predicted model, not a curated record.